Solanum stenotomum is the source of this 1373-nucleotide RNA transcript. RefSeq lists it as uncharacterized. The record is from RefSeq and is a predicted model, not a curated record. The transcript is spliced from 11 exons. NCBI's taxonomy places the organism in Eukaryota, Viridiplantae, Streptophyta, Magnoliopsida, Solanales, Solanaceae.
AGUCACAGGCCUCCCAAGUCAUCGAUUUUCUGUGUAUUUGAAGAACAUAUGAACGCAGGGGGGAAUUGAGUCAAUAAAGAUCCAGUCGAUAAAAAUGGAAUCUCAGCCAGCAUCUCCGGGAUUUGGAGCGUCACUGCAACUGAAGGACUGCAUAGAAGAGCUGCUGAGAUUCACACUUGUUUCCUCCAUUGACGGCACUCUUGAAAUUGACUUAGGUCUCUCCAAAGACUACUGCUCCACCCUCUUACAAGAAGAUCCUUCCGAUCCCUUUUUCAAUCCCACUGGUCUUUCUGAAGGAGUUCCUUCAUAUCCUUUAUACAAGCGCCUUGCAGCAUCCUUAUAUGAGGCUAUUUCUUCUGAAGCCUUGCCAAGGACAGAAAACAAACUUGCAGUAAUGCAAGAAACUAGUUCUAUGAAGCAAAUGGAAGAAGAGUGGGCUAGUUUAAUUAGGGAAAAAGGUUCACAUUUGCUCAAUGUGCUUAAAUCUGUGGACUUUGAACUCCAUGUUCAGGAGCCUUACUUCUCUCUACUUAGAAACGGACAGAAAACAGUUGAAGGAAGGUGUGCUGUUGGACACUAUAAUAAAAUUGAACCAGGUUCGUCCAUCCUCAUCAACAAAUGUUUAGUUCUUCAAGUUCAGGAUGUCCAUCAUUAUCAUUCAUUCCAUGAGAUGUUAGAAGCAGAAAGUCUUAAAGAAGUUCUUCCUGGAGUGGAUACCACUGAAGAAGGUGUCCAAGUUUACCGGAGAUUUUACUCAGAAGAGAAAGAAAGGUCAAAUGGUGUUCUUGCUAUCAGUGUUAAGAAGCUGGUUUCUCAGCCUUCCAUCGAUUUGAGCUCCAUGCUAUCUGAACUGAGCUAUGCUGGUGUUCAGAGGCUUUUAGGAUUUGUAUGUACAGCUGGAACAGUUUCUGAGGCACUUCCACCGCCAACAUCUUCUCUAAUCUCAUCAUUUCUAUUGCCACAUAAUCCAAAUACUAAAGGUUGUACAUUGACUGAUGGAGCGAGGGCAUUGUCAAAGCACGUUAACAGGAGCAGUGACAGAUACUGGGGUAGUUUUUCUGGAAGUGGUUAGUUCCUCACUCCAGAGCCCUUCAACAUAAACAUCCUUGAUUUGCAUAUUCUGAUAAAAAUAGGAAUGCCCUGGAUGUCAUCAGGAACUUAAUAACGCGUUCCUGCUGGAUGAAUGUGCAUAUUGUUCCACCACAUGGUGUUGUUUUUGAGAUAAGAGUUGUUAAUGGUUACGGUGCACGGUGGUCUAAAGAUGGAAGUAAGUUUAUUGGUUUCCUUGAGCCCUAUAUGGAGGAUGGCCAUUCAAAGGGAUGGAGGCACUGAAUAGCAGAAGAUACAAUAGGCGUUUGACCGUGAAAUUUUUU